AUUAAUUUCUUUUUAGCUCAAGUGUCAGACUUUUCAAUUUCUCUGUUAAAUUUCAUCUUCUUAGGUUUGGCCUAAACAAAUAGCCUGUUGAGGACCUUUUGGAUCCUGACUCUGUUACCCAGGGGGUUCCUCCUAACUUUGCUUCAUCUGAAGGGACCCCUUUAGAUGUCUGGUGAACUCUAUGGAUCUUGA
This 192-nucleotide long non-coding RNA is filed under the name Monodelphis domestica (gray short-tailed opossum). Its description in RNAcentral is "lncRNA (ENSMODG00000039635.1)". The record is from RNAcentral. Lineage: Eukaryota; Metazoa; Chordata; Mammalia; Didelphimorphia; Didelphidae.